Molecule: non-coding RNA, 202 nt
Organism: Pelobates cultripes (western spadefoot toad)
Lineage: Eukaryota; Metazoa; Chordata; Amphibia; Anura; Pelobatidae
Source: the annotation of a GenBank genome assembly
CUGAUCCACCUCUUUAACAGUUUGAUUUUUCCAUAGGGAAAGCAUUGGAUUGGCUGAAGUCGGCAUGGAGGUGGGAUGAGGUCAGGCUAAAGGCUAUUUAGUCCAAUCACCACUUCCUCAGAGAUGCAUUGAUUUAAUGCAUCUGAAAUAAUUUCAGCGUCUCCAUGAACAGCAGCACUGACCCAGCCGCCAGGAAGCCCCU